UUUGUCUUUCUUUGUCUAUUUCCACAGGUUGCCAGCAUUUCAGUCAGAUGUUGUGGAGAAGUACAACGGAGUUUGGUGUGGGGCUUGCUAAAAUGAAGAAUAAGGACCAAUAUGUUGUAGUUAUACAGUACCGCCCUCCUGGUAACAAUAAUUUACCAGGAGAAUUUCGAAAAAACAUACCACCGCCUAAAUAACUCUGGGAGUAUUUGUGUGUAUGUAUGUGUGAGUGAGUGAGUGGUGAGUGAGUGGGUGAGUGGGGGAGUGUGUGUGUGUGUGUGUGUGAGAGAGAGAGAGAGUCAGACAGUCAGACAAAGAGAAAUAAGCGUGUGUUUAUGCGUGAAAGGGUAUUUGUGAAUAUACGUAUAAAUGUGUGAGUGUUUAAAGCUUUUUUUACCCCAUAAAUAUAAAUAUAUGCCUAUGUGUGUAUAUACACAUACGUAUAAGGGAUUGACAAAAUUAGUAAAGAGCCGGACAAAAUAUAUUGCAAUAUUUAGUUUCGUCUCUUUACAAUCUAAGUUCAAAUCCCAUCGAGGUCUCUACUUUGCCUUUUACCCCCCUUGAGGCCCCUACAAUAAAGUACAAGUCAAAUAAACGAG
Octopus sinensis (East Asian common octopus) is the source of this 596-nucleotide long non-coding RNA. RefSeq lists it as uncharacterized. Lineage: Eukaryota; Metazoa; Mollusca; Cephalopoda; Octopoda; Octopodidae. The record is from RefSeq and is a predicted model, not a curated record. The transcript is spliced from 2 exons.